GGUGGGGUUCCCGAGCGGCCAAAGUGAGCAGACUGUAAAUCUGCCGUCAUCGACUUCGAAGGUUCGAAUCCUUCCCCCACCACCA
This 85-nucleotide transfer RNA is filed under the name Escherichia coli. RNAcentral describes it as "tRNA-Tyr". It matches the Rfam family "tRNA". From Rfam's summary of the family: Transfer RNA (tRNA) molecules are approximately 80 nucleotides in length. The record is from RNAcentral. RNAcentral also lists the same sequence under 3 other names. Lineage: Bacteria; Pseudomonadati; Pseudomonadota; Gammaproteobacteria; Enterobacterales; Enterobacteriaceae.